CUGUCAUGCCUUUAUCUAUGUUUAGAAUGUACACGAGACUGCCUGUAUCUUUGAUUAGAAUGUACCAGUAGGCUGCUUAAGAUGGACAAGCCAUAAUAUUAAUGGCUCUCACAGCAUAAUAUCGAUGGUUGUCACUGCUAAUAUGGACAAAAAAGAUGGGCGUACAAUUUUAGCCGCGAAGAGUCGGAGGCAUUAAUUGUGUCGGUGGAGGAGAGGAAACACCACCUUUUCGGGAAGUUUUCUUCUAAAUUAUUGUCCCAGGAUAAAGACUUGAAGUGGCGAGGUGGCGGAUGCUGUCACAUCUGUGUGCGGAGUUUUGAGGACUGUGAACGCAGUUAAAAAAAAGUGGUCUACCAUCGCCAGUGAAGCGAAGAAGAGGGACGCUUUAUUAAAAAAGGACCAAGGGAGGAGAGAUGGAGGCCAGCCAGAGGUGAAGCCACUGACUGCCUCAGAGGAAAGGAUCCUUGCCGUGAUGGGAAAGGUCUACAUGGAAGGGAUCUCCAAUGGCUCAGAGGUCGGACUGCCAGAGCCAGCUUUGCCUCCUGAAUCGUCAACAGCGUCAGCUGAGCCACAGGUCAUCCUAACGCUGGUGUCAAGUUGUAAGGAUGAUGGGACAUUGCCACCACCAGUUGUACUUCCAUUACCUGCCAAAAAGAACAGGACUACCCAAGAGCCCUGCAAUAGGAGCUCCUCAACUUGGAGAGGGAGAAGGUGCUCCUGAUGAAAGAAUGACUGCCAAUAGAAAAGGAGAGAUUGAAA
This is a long non-coding RNA of Megalops cyprinoides (Indo-Pacific tarpon), 759 nucleotides long. RefSeq lists it as uncharacterized. Lineage: Eukaryota; Metazoa; Chordata; Actinopteri; Elopiformes; Megalopidae. The record is from RefSeq and is a predicted model, not a curated record. The transcript is spliced from 3 exons.